UACGUAGGGGGCUAGCGUUGUCCGGAAUUAUUGGGCGUAAAGAGUGUGUAGGCGGUCCGGUAAGUCCGCUGUGAAAGUCGGGGGCUCAACCCUCGAAUGCCGGUGGAUACUGUCGGGCUAGAGUGCGGAAGAGGCGAGUGGAAUUCCUGGUGUAGCGGUGAAAUGCGCAGAUAUCAGGAGGAACACCUAUUGCGAAGGCAGCUCGCUGGGACGUAACUGACGCUGAGACGCGAAAGCGUGGGGAGCAAACAGG
This 253-nucleotide ribosomal RNA is filed under the name uncultured bacterium. Its description in RNAcentral is "partial 16S ribosomal RNA". It matches the Rfam family "Bacterial small subunit ribosomal RNA", at positions 524 to 776 of the family's 1533-position model. The record is from RNAcentral.